Molecule: ribosomal RNA, 541 nt
Filed under: Schwanniomyces polymorphus var. polymorphus
Lineage: Eukaryota; Fungi; Ascomycota; Pichiomycetes; Serinales; Debaryomycetaceae
Description: partial large subunit ribosomal RNA
Rfam family: Eukaryotic large subunit ribosomal RNA
Source: RNAcentral
GGCAAAAGCUCAAAUUUGAAAUCUGGCACCUUCGGUGUCCGAGUUGUAAUUUGAAGAAGGUAACUUUGGAGUUGGCUCUUGUCUAUGUUCCUUGGAACAGGACGUCACAGAGGGUGAGAAUCCCGUGCGAUGAGAUGCCCAAUUCUAUGUAAAGUGCUUUCGAAGAGUCGAGUUGUUUGGGAAUGCAGCUCUAAGUGGGUGGUAAAUUCCAUCUAAAGCUAAAUAUUGGCGAGAGACCGAUAGCGAACAAGUACAGUGAUGGAAAGAUGAAAAGAACUUUGAAAAGAGAGUGAAAAAGUACGUGAAAUUGUUGAAAGGGAAGGGCUUGAGAUCAGACUUGGUAUUUUGCAAGCCUUACCUUCGUGGUGGGGUCCCCUGCAGUUUACUGGGCCAGCAUCGGUUUGGAUGGUAGGAUAAUGACUUGGGAAUGUGACUUUGCUUCGGUAAAGUGUUAUAGCCCUUGUUGAUACUGCCUGUCUAGACCGAGGACUGCGUCUUUGACUAGGAUGCUGGCAUAAUGAUCUUAAGUCGCCCGUCUUGA